RNAcentral lists this ribosomal RNA (253 nucleotides) under uncultured bacterium. RNAcentral's name for it is "partial 16S ribosomal RNA". It matches the Rfam family "Bacterial small subunit ribosomal RNA", at positions 524 to 776 of the family's 1533-position model. The record is from RNAcentral.
GACAGAGGGGGCAAGCGUUGCUCGGAAUUACUGGGCGUAAAGGGCGCGUAGGCGGGAUGGCAAGUCGGUCGUGAAAUCCCUCGGCUCAACCGAGGAACGUCGAUCGAUACUGCUGUUCUUGAGGAUUGCAGAGGAGACUGGAAUUCCCGGUGUAGCGGUGAAAUGUGUAGAGAUCGGGAGGAACACCGGUGGCGAAGGCGGGUCUCUGGGCAAUUCCUGACGCUGAGGAGCGAAAGCCAGGGGAGCAAACGGG